ACGGGAGGCAGCAGUGGGGAAUAUUGCACAAUGGGGGAAACCCUGAUGCAGCGACGCCGCGUGAGCGAUGAAGUAUUUCGGUAUGUAAAGCUCUAUCAGCAGGGAAGAUAAUGACGGUACCUGACUAAGAAGCUCCGGCUAAAUACGUGCCAGCAGCCGCGGUAAUACGUAGGUGGCGAGCGUUGUCCGGAUUUACUGGGUGUAAAGGGCGCGUAGACGGCUCAGCAAGUCAGAUGUGAAAUACCGAAGCUUAACUUCGGGGCUGCAUUUGAAACUGUUGAGCUUGAGUAUCGGAGAGGAAAGCGGAAUUCCUAGUGUAGCGGUGAAAUGCGUAGAUAUUAGGAGGAACACCGGUGGCGAAGGCGGCUUUCUGGACGACAACUGACGUUGAGGCGCGAAAGUGUAGGGAGCAAACAGGAUUAGAUACCCUGGUA
This 434-nucleotide ribosomal RNA is filed under the name uncultured Lachnospiraceae bacterium. RNAcentral's name for it is "partial 16S ribosomal RNA". It matches the Rfam family "Bacterial small subunit ribosomal RNA", at positions 341 to 792 of the family's 1533-position model. Lineage: Bacteria; Bacillati; Bacillota; Clostridia; Lachnospirales; Lachnospiraceae. The record is from RNAcentral.